ACAGAGGGUGCAAACGUUGCUCGGAAUUACUGGGCGUAAAGCGCGUGUAGGCGGUUCGUUAAGUCGUCUGUGAAAGCCCAUGGCUCAACCAUGGAAGUGCAGCCGAUACUGGCGGACUUGAGUUCUGGAGAGGGUGGCGGAAUUCCCAGUGUAGAGGUGAAAUUCGUAGAUAUUGGGAGGAACACCGGUGGCGAAGGCGGCCACCUGGACAGAUACUGACGCUGAGACGCGAAAGCGCGGGUAGCAAACAG
This 251-nucleotide ribosomal RNA is filed under the name uncultured prokaryote. RNAcentral's name for it is "partial 16S rRNA". It matches the Rfam family "Bacterial small subunit ribosomal RNA", at positions 525 to 775 of the family's 1533-position model. The record is from RNAcentral.